This 490-nucleotide ribosomal RNA is filed under the name uncultured bacterium. RNAcentral describes it as "partial 16S ribosomal RNA". It matches the Rfam family "Bacterial small subunit ribosomal RNA", at positions 30 to 507 of the family's 1533-position model. The record is from RNAcentral.
AUUGAACGCUGGCGGCAGGCCUAACACAUGCAAGUCGAACGGUAACAGGAAGAAGCUUGCUUCUUUGCUGACGAGUGGCGGACGGGUGAGUAAUGUCUGGGAAACUGCCUGAUGGAGGGGGAUAACUACUGGAAACGGUAGCUAAUACCGCAUAACGUCGCAAGACCAAAGAGGGGGACCUUCGGGCCUCUUGCCAUCGGCUUGGCCCAGAUGGGAUUAGCUAGUAGGUGGGGUAACGGCUCACCUAGGCGACGAUCCCUAGCUGGUCUGAGAGGAUGACCAGCCACACUGGAACUGAGACACGGUCCAGACUCCUACGGGAGGCAGCAGUGGGGAAUAUUGCACAAUGGGCGCAAGCCUGAUGCAGCCAUGCCGCGUGUAUGAAGAAGGCCUUCGGGUUGUAAAGUACUUUCAGCGGGGAGGAAGGGAGUAAAGUUAAUACCUUUGCUCAUUGACGUUACCCGCAGAAGAAGCACCGGCUAACUCCGUG